Molecule: long non-coding RNA, 2124 nt
Filed under: Nicotiana tabacum (common tobacco)
Lineage: Eukaryota; Viridiplantae; Streptophyta; Magnoliopsida; Solanales; Solanaceae
Description: long non-coding RNA (NTAB_LNC012743)
Source: RNAcentral
AUUUUCCCUUAUUUCCUCCCUUCUCUUCUAUUGUCUUCUCUUCUCUUCUCUUCUCAUCACUCUCUCCUCUCUCUUCUCCCUUCCGCCAGCUUCGCUGCCUGAACCCUAGCGCCGCUGGCCGGAAAUCUCCUCAUGGAGGCGGCGCACCUCCAAUCCCCACCAAAAUCGCACCAUAUCCUCAUCUUCUCCUCCUCUCUCCAUAUCUCCAGCUCAAGUCCUCAAAAUCCCAACCAAACUCCAUGAAUCGUCAAAAAAUCAAAAAUCUAGCCGCCCCUUUCUCCUAAAAUUCGUCAAGCUUGAGACCUCACCACCACUUAAUACCUACAUGAGCGUGUAGGUAUUCCCUUGAUAUAUUACAUAGUAUUAUUUUGGACCAAAUUUUCGGUGACUAAUUCCGGCCACCACCAUCAUUGACGCACCACUUUACCACCACACUCCACCACCCAAACAACCCUGUAACUCUUCUUCCAGCAUAAACAUGAUUGCACAACACUUUUUUCUCUUUGACAUGAUUUGGAAUUAACCCCGGUAACGCGGAAAAUUAUUUUUCCAGCACAUGCUAUCGAGAAAAUAGUGCUCGGGUGGCCGUUUUGUUGCUGUUUGCAUCAUCCUUGAGAUUUGAGGACAGCCAAUUUGGAUCGUCGGUACAACCCCUAACUUUUUUUUUUAUUUUUCUUUUAGUUUGAGUUCUGCCUUUUAGUUUCUAGUUUUUUCUCUGUUUUGAUCAAUAGUAUGAUUGUUGAUUAGUCGUCUUUGUUUAACCUAGUUGUUUAUUAGAUUGUCAUAGACCAAACUGAUCUCGGUGUCGUUGAAUCAUUUAUUUAGUUAGUCGUUUAUUUAGUUGUUGUUAGUCGUUGUCGAAUAGUUAACAAUGCUCGUGUAAUUUCUGUUUCGCACUUUAAUAGGUGAAUUCAAUUUUCUAUGUUAGUUUGUACAAAUCGACUGAUUCUAAUUUACUCCCUCCGUUUUAAAUUUUUGUGAACCCAUUUGAUUAGGCACGACGUUUAAGAAACAAGAGAAGAUUUUUGAACUUGUGGUGUAAAAAAUGAGGCACAUAUAUUUUGUGUGGCCAUAAAUCAUUGUAUAAAGGUAAAUUAUUUCCAAAUAUAAAAAUGGGUCAUUCUUUUUGGAACGGACUAAAAAGAAAAUAGAUUCACAUAAAUUAAAAUGGAGGGAGUAGUUAGUUUGAGUGCUCAAUUUAGUUACAAUCAAAAGUAUUGUUUCUGCUUUGACAGUUUCAUGGUGGUUUGAGUUUGGUUUGUGUUGAUCAAGUAGGUUGGUACUGAUAGUUAAAAGCGGAAGAUUAAAUAAAGUAAUCAUGAAAUGAUGUACUUUAGUAGCCUACUUUUUAGUAGUAGGGUGAAUGAAAGGACCCUUUUCCUCCUUGCUUCUGCCACAAUAGGUUUUUCGGCUGUCCUUUCACGGACAAUCUUUGAACAGUGAUUAGCACACAAAGUCAAUCAUUUUUUGACAUAUUUUUGGUAAACCAAAAUCUGUCCAAAAAGUGACUUUUUUUGCCUACUUAAAGGCUGGCUCUUUCCUCACUUUAGACACACUCUAUCACACUAGAAAUCAGUUUUUAUACACUCAAAAGAGAACAUAAAACUUGAGAGGGAAAAAAUCAACAGUUGAACAUCAAAUAGUAAGCUGGAGCUUAUUAAAAAAAUAAAAGUCCUUAAAGCUAGUUUCUAGUUUUCUUUCACUAGAAGUUUAUUGAGUUCUAAGGGUUAUUCGGGUUUGUUCUGGGUUCAUUUCACUGCUGAUUCACUACUUAUUCGGGUUUGUUCUUGGUUCAUUUUACUACUGUUUCAUUGUUGUUUUUGUUGUCGUUUCUGGUGAUUUUACUGUUGUAUUUCUUAUUCUGCAAACCAGGUAAUUUUCUCAACUAUUGUACUACUUUUGGGUCAAGAAUGAAUGCAAAUGAAGCUAUUUGAGUUCUCUUUACUUUGUUAUAGUUUAAAAGCAUUUUGCUCCCAUUAGUUUUGUGUUUAAAUGUCAAGCAUAUGUAAUGGAUAUUGAAGGUUCAAAUUCCUUACGCAUUAAAAUAAAUUUUGUUUAAGGUCCAUUUUAUACUAUCUUUAUGUUUUUUUUUUAGAUUUGUUCUUGUGGUAUAUUUAGUUUCUU